This 253-nucleotide ribosomal RNA is filed under the name uncultured bacterium. Its description in RNAcentral is "partial 16S ribosomal RNA". It matches the Rfam family "Bacterial small subunit ribosomal RNA", at positions 524 to 776 of the family's 1533-position model. The record is from RNAcentral.
UACAGAGGUCCCGAGCGUUGUUCGGAUUCAUUGGGCGUAAAGGGUGCGUAGGCGGCGGGGCAAGUCUGAUGUGAAAUCCCGGGGCUCAACCCCGGAACUGCAUUGGAUACUGCCUUGCUAGAGUACUGGAGAGGGAACUGGAAUUUACGGUGUAGCAGUGAAAUGCGUAGAGAUCGUAAGGAAGGCCAGUGGCGAAGGCGGCUUCCUGGCCUGUUCUUGACGCUGAGGCGCGAAAGCUAGGGUAGCAAACGGG